UACGAAGGGUGCAAACGUUAUUCGGAAUCACUGGGCGUAGAGGGUGCGUAGACGGUAUGUUAAGUUCGUUGUUAAAGGCUCUGGCCUAACCGGAGUAUUGCAAUGAAAACUGGCGUGCUAGAGGGUGAGAGAGAGAAGUGGAAUUCCUGGAGUAGCGGUAAAAUGCGUGGAUCUCAGGAGGAACACCAAUGGCGAAGGCAGCUUCUUGGCUCAUUCCUGACGUUGAGGCACGAAAGCGUGGGGAGCAAACAGG
This 253-nucleotide ribosomal RNA is filed under the name uncultured bacterium. Its description in RNAcentral is "partial 16S ribosomal RNA". It matches the Rfam family "Bacterial small subunit ribosomal RNA", at positions 524 to 776 of the family's 1533-position model. The record is from RNAcentral.